Molecule: unclassified non-coding RNA, 377 nt
Filed under: uncultured delta proteobacterium
Lineage: Bacteria; Deltaproteobacteria
Description: contains 16S-23S intergenic spacer region
Source: RNAcentral
UCCGACUUCACGUCGGCAGUAUCGUUAGAGUGCUCAGCGUACCUGUUAGCAACUAACGACGAGGGUUGCGCUCGUUGCGGGACUUAACCCAACAUCUCACGGCACGAGCUGACGACAGCCAUGCAGCACCUUCUCACCGGUUCCCCGAAGGGCACUCCCUAGUCUCCUAAGGAUUCCGGUGGAUUUAACCCAGGUAAGGUUCUUCGCGUUGCGUCGAAUUAAACCACAUGCUCCGCUGCUUGUGCGGGCCCCCGUCAAUUCCUUUGAGUUUUAGUCUUGCGACCGUGCUCCCCAGGUGCAGGACUUAACGCGUUAGCUCCGGGACGCUCCACGAACGUGAAGCACCCCAAGUCCUGAUCGUUUAGGGCUAGGACUAC